Non-coding RNA from Taeniopygia guttata (zebra finch), 3193 nucleotides. The record is from RefSeq and is a predicted model, not a curated record. Lineage: Eukaryota; Metazoa; Chordata; Aves; Passeriformes; Estrildidae.
CUGAUGUAAUGAAGAGCUUUGACUUACUUGAAGUAUAACCCAUUGGCCUUCUUUUGAUGCCUUUUCCACAGCUAUUUCUGCUGCAGCUUCCUGUCCUUGACCCAGCGAUACAUUGUGAAGUUCUCCUGAGUCAAUGAAUCCUGGUAAAAUGCAGUAAAGGAUUUAAGGUUAUCGUCUGUCUCUCUCUAACUUCUGACAUCUCUUUAUAACAAGAAAGAGUCACAGCCAACUGUAACAGGAGGGCAACACAAUGAAUUCUGGUGUUUUAUGAGAAAUUGGAUCUGCAUAUCACAGUAUCUUUUUCCCAUGGGUUAAAGGAAACUGUUCUAACACUUCCAGCUUCUGCUGCCCAGUCAUUCUCUCUUUGUAAUUAGCAUGAAGACUACCCUUCAGUCAAAACUAGCCACCUGGAAAGUUUCAGCUUGUAAUAUGCAGCUUUUUUUGUGAAUUAUGAAUGUGCAAAAAAGAGACCUUUCUCCUUACACCCACUUCCUUGCAUAAUUCAAAUAUGAAUGAAUGAAUUUUAUUCAGCCUUGCCAAAAAAAAAAUUAUAUUUCAGCUGAUAACAAGCAUGAAAAAUUUCAGAUGAAAGGGAUUUUUUUUAAAAAAGAAGAAUAUUCUGAGCAUGGGAGAAUAGCAGGUUAAGACAGAAGUCUCAGCUCAGCCUUAGCUAUAACAAUUGCUAUCAAGCAAAUACCAUAUCCAAGCACUAAAUCUUGCUUUGUGCUGCCCUGGUGCACAGUAGCAGGGACAGAGUAGAAUAAUAAAAGCUGGUCCCUUAUGCAAACAGCAAGGCACAGCACUUGAAAGAACACGAGAAGAAGGUGAGCCUGCCUACUGCUCUGGCUGGCUAACCAUGUUCCCAAGGUCUGUGGGUUAGUUGUCACCUCUAGCUCCCGUCAGAUAGCAAAAGGUACUUCAAACACUAGCACAGGGAAUGUUUUGGUCCAUUCCAGAAUAUUUUACUAAUUCCUUGCCUCCAAAUGUAGUAUUCUAUUAAAUAAAGUAUUUGAAGGAAUUUUUAUAAGCAACAUCACGGUUUAAUGGGUCAAAAAGGGAAUUGAAUCAGUGCCAGGCAUUUUGUGAUUAACCAUGUAUUUUAAAAAUAUAUAUCUGUGAAGAAGGUAUUAUCUGUGCAAAGCAGAAUGAGAUUUGGGCUCAUGCCAGUACCACUUUGAAAAUAAACUAUCACAGUGGAGAAAUGUUACCAUCUGGAACAUUUCUGCAUUAUAUUUUCUCUUGUUCCUAAUAAUGCUUUGGUGAUAAGUCCAGCUCUCCUUUUCUACUGAGAAAACAGGAUUAAAACUCCCAUUAAUUUACUAUGUGUUUGUUAAAAAAUGCCCAUUACAGUAGCUAAACAGCAGUGAAUACUAAAGUAUUACCUUGCAGAUUCACAGAUCCACAUUGAUUAGGGGAUCAACAGACAGGAUUUGCAAAUGGCAAGCCUGGGCAUAAAAAUCUCCUUCCAGUCUGAUGUGAGUCGACUGUUGCAAGUUGAACUUGGCAGCAAGUGACCAAAAUUGAGUUGUCAGCACCCUCCUGCAUAGUGGAAGAAGUUGUUGCUUUCUAGUGCAGAUGCAAGAGUUUCUGUGGGAAAACAGAACAUAAUCAUGGUUCUGAAUGUCUCUGUGGAUUGGUAAUGUCUCUAAUACAUAGAUCACUUGUGCAAAUUCAGUCCCAGCUGGAUGGGAAAUUAUUGAAAAUAGUUGUUGUUUGAUUGAUAUAAAAUGAGUUGUCAGCUUGAUUCAAUGCCUUCAGGGCAGAUGUCCACAGCAUAAUUGGCACCUGUCAGAAGCAAAGAAUUCCUUGGUACAGAGUAACAGCUACUCAUGCAACCACCCAGAACAGUCCUUGCAUGCCAGGGCUCAGAGAAGAAGGCAGAAAAAGAAAAAAAAAUAAUGCUGGGCAGGAUCUUUUAUGCCAUAAAGCCAGUAAGAUAUUUGAUGUGACACUUGGUGCAAGCUUUUCCCUGGGAUCCUGGCUAGACACGAUCAGCUUUUCUGCUGUUUGGUCAACACUUUCCCUAAGAAUUAGAAGAAAACUCCCAUAUUUGGUUACUUGCUAUUAUUGUCAUGGUAGAGGUGGGUUUAUAAAGACCAGUUAAUAAAGAAAUGUUUACAUGUUUGCUUAUUAUAAAAAAUGCUGUGAAUAAUUUUAUUUUUAUAUUUUUUGAGAAAUUCUCCUCACAACACAACUAGAGAAAUGAGUGUCCUCUCAGCAGAAAAAUAUGGCAAAGAAACUGCCAGGACUGACAGUAUAGCAGUGUCAGUAUUACACUGUUUGCUAAUAGUAAACAGUGACCUAUUGUUUACCACAGAGGAGAUUAAAAUGGAUUUUUUCCUAUAAAUCAGUAAAUAGCUGUCAUAUGGUUGUUAGUGCCUUUGACCAAGUGUGGUACAGCUAACAACAGGAAUGAAUUCUAUUUCCCAUCACCAAUCUGUCGAGCUGGCCACCUUCUUCAUGGGGCUGGUGCUUUGGGAGGUACUAGCUGAAGGACUUUCCAUUAAAACUCAUUUUACUGUCUUCAUCUAGCGCAUGGCUCAACUUUCCUUCUUUCCUUUCAUCUCUGUUUCCUCCUUUAGAUUAUUUUUCAUUAUGCCUCCCCCCCCAGCAUACCCACACUUCGCCUUUCAUCUCUCUAUGUAUGCUAUUCCAGCACUUGUCAGGCCCAGCAGGAGGCACAUGGGAGAACCAAACAAUAUGAUAUGUUAGGUGGAAGGAAAUAUUAGAACAAUCAUUUAUUGUCACACUUUAAAGAGGUCUGCUAUGUUAUUUAUUUUAUUAUUCUGUAUUAGGUACAUGGUUUAGUUUUACAGGCAUUAUUAAUCACUAAAAUACAUUACACUUUCAGCCAGGAUGCUAACAUUUUAAAUGCAUUCAUCUUGCUUCUUUAAACAGAAACAAUGGGUCUUCUGCACUGCUCUCCCUCCCCUUUAGUCAAUAAAUCCUUUCUAUUGAUUCACGAAAUAACUCUUAAACCUUGUUUUAUAUUUUAAGUUCCACUAGCUACACUCAGCCAUAUAAUUUUGCUCAAUAACAAAUGGAUCUUCUAUUUUUGUUGUUUACUAUGUGUUUGGUUAUCACACUCAGCUUGAAAGUAUUGGGUAGAAAAGGACAAAAACUGUAGUGGCAGUGAGCCACCAUGAGAGAUUUCCUAAAUGAAUGUUGCAAUAAAAUAAAGUAUCUGUAAAAA